Molecule: transfer RNA, 70 nt
Filed under: Aborichthys elongatus
Lineage: Eukaryota; Metazoa; Chordata; Actinopteri; Cypriniformes; Nemacheilidae
Description: tRNA-Trp
Rfam family: tRNA
About the family: Transfer RNA (tRNA) molecules are approximately 80 nucleotides in length. Their secondary structure includes four short double-helical elements and three loops (D, anti-codon, and T loops).
Source: RNAcentral
AGAGACUUAGGAUAAUUUAAACCAAAAGCCUUCAAAGCUCUAAAUAGGAGUUAAAAUCUCCUAGUCUCUG